AACACAGCAAUCGUCUCAUUUCCAGACGGUACUCUUGUCUGCCCCCGAUUUCUUGAUUUCCGAUGCGUAAUCUUGAUCCGGUGGGAUUAGAUUUAUCAUUAGUUUGUGUAAAUCUAAGUUUUAUCUCCAAUUUUCUCGUUGUUUUGAUGCAUUCCUUUAGGCUUUUCUUUAUUUCAAUGGAAUGCAUCGGAUUUGAUGGAAUAUUGUUAUUCGGUAGGAAUUUACAUAUGUUCUUUUGAUUUAAGUUAUGAAGUGAUUCGUGGAUGAUCAUCUUAUGCUAUUUGUUCAAUUUUGACUAUAAAAAACUCUUUUUUAAUUGAAUGAUUCCCAAACCAAAAUUGAAAGAUCAUUUCUUGGCUAUGCUAUGUCAUCAAUUAAGGUAAAAUUAUCUGUGAAAUGUUUCUGAAUGCGUUAUCCUUCAAGAAGGAUUGAUGGAAAAGGAAAAAAUUUAGAAGGGAAAUUGUAAUGUGCUAAAUUUCCUCAUACCUGCAUUGACCUAAUACACAUAAAUCUAAUGGUGAGCAUGACGAGGAUUUUCAAGGUUUUUCCUAGUUCUGCUUGUACCAAUCUUUGAUCCUUAAACCAAUUGGUGGUAGCGCGCAUCUUUGUCCACCACGGCGUAAGGAGAUUGGUGAUUUUGAAGGUUUUUCACUCCAAUUCCAAACCAAACCAAAGUUUAAUGGUGGCUGUCUCAAUGUUGAUAGAUUUCAUUUAUUGGUACUUUAUGCUAGUGACAAAAGGGAAAAGUUCAAGUAAGAUAUUGUUGGUUGAUAUUCUACAACUUAAAAGUGAGAUUUUUCUUUUGCAAUUGAUAUCAUGCUUGUUUUAAACUUAUGUUAUGAAGUGUUCAUUGAAGUGUAUACAAAAUUGAUUGUUUUUAUUUAUCUUACUUGGAUGUUACUGAGAAUAAUCUGGCUUGAUGUUAAUUUUUUCACACAAUGACUUCUCACUCGAUUAUUCCUGGUGAUACCAACACAGUCUUCACGUACUUGUUCUUAAAAGUGGAUUACAGAAUAUACGUUUUCAUGGAGAUUAAAUUAUUCUUACAUAAUUGAGAAGAUAGCUUAUUUUUCCUAGAGAACUCAUCCCUGAACGUGUAGUUCAUGCAAGAGGAGCCAGUGCCGAAGGCUUCUUCUAAUUUACUCAUGAUGUAGCUCAUCUCUGCACUGACAUUUGUCCAUGUCCCUGAGUGUCCAAAAAGUCCGGUCCUCAUUUACUUCUGCACAGUAGUUGAUGACUGGCAGCCCUGAAAUGAUCUGCAAUUUCCCAGGGGAACUUUGUCUGUUUGGGAAACAACUUUCCUGUUUUCUUCAGCAGAAACGGCAUGAUAUUCCCAGACCAGAUCCAUGCCUUCCAAACCAAACCGCAAGACAAAUGUUCCAGAAAACUGGAUAGCAUUUGACUUCCUGUCUCACUCCCCGGGAGCAACCACACCUUCUUUCUGUUUGAUGAUUCCGACAUCCCCAUGGAGUACAAGUAUAUGGAAGGUUUUGGUGUCAACACCCAUAGCUUCAUCAACAGGUAUUCAAGGUACCCCUCCCUUCUUUAACAAACAAGGUGAGAUGCAUUAAAUGGAGUUUCUCCGGAAAUCAACAUGCAGCAUUUAUAGUUUGUUAGAUGAUGAGGUGAUCAUUGGAGGAAAGAACCACUGCCAUGUGAUGCAGGAUCUCUACAAGGUCAUUGCCGCUGGGAGCUACCCAGAAUCAAAAACUCUAUGUUCAGGCAAGCGGGUUUGAGCAUGAGGAUCACUAUGACUUUGAUAAACUUGAUGAUAUAAAGAUAUGGGCAGAGGAUUUACUGCCAUUGCAGCCAGUGAGAAGGUUAAUUCUGAACAAGAACAUUGAUAA
Dioscorea cayenensis subsp. rotundata (Guinea yam) is the source of this 1847-nucleotide long non-coding RNA. RefSeq lists it as uncharacterized. The record is from RefSeq and is a predicted model, not a curated record. The transcript is spliced from 3 exons. Lineage: Eukaryota; Viridiplantae; Streptophyta; Magnoliopsida; Dioscoreales; Dioscoreaceae.